GACUACAUUGUUUAUUGCUAUUCUUUUGAUAAGACUGUCCUUUCUACCUUACCUAGCUUUUUCCUUUAUUUUCAUUUCAUUCGGCUAAUGCCAACUCACUUUUAAUGCUUAUGUCAUGUAUAGUCCUCCUCAGGAAAACUGUACUUACACCCAUAACCAUUACUCUAAUCACCAACUGUAUUGUGUCUGACUCACUGUUCUAUUAGUACGGGAUACUUAUCUCUAUCAUGGGAGUAAUGAUACCAAUUUAUAAUACAUUUAUUCCUCUACAUUCCACUUGAGAGAAGGAAAUGUUUACUAAUCCUAAAAUUAAUUUUUGUUGACUAAACAAUAGGUGAAUUAAUGAAAAAAUGCUGAUAAUAUUAUGGAAUCUGAGAGAAAAUAUUUCAAAAGGAUCUCUCAUCUCCGCACACGAGAAGAAAAAACCCACGGAACCAGUAGGGCUGGACCCUACACGGAUGUGUAUAAUUAAAAAGAAGAGACAAGCUCUGGAGACAAUGUGGAGUAAUUGGAACCCUCAAGUGCUGAUGGUAGGAUUAUAAAAUGUUCCAGCCAUUUGGGAAAAGAAUUUGCCAGUUAUCAACAUGUUAAACACAGAAUCUCUUCCUAGGUAUAUAUUCAAGAGAAAGAAAAGCAUAUAUGCACCAAAAAAUUAAAAAAAAAAACACUUUUACAUGGAUGCUUAUAUAUGAUUCAUAGUAGCCAAAAAUAGAAGCCACCCGAAUAUCCAUCAACUGAUAAAUGGAUUUGCCAAAUGUCAUAUAUUCAUAAAUGGAAUAUUAUUCCAAAAGAAGAACAGAGUAUUAAUACAAGAUGCAUCAUGGAUGAACCCUGAAAACAUUAUGCUAAAUAAAAGAAGCCAGUCAUAAAAGAUUGUAUUAUGAUUCGAUUUACAUAAAAUCUCCAGAAUAAGCAAAUCUAUAUAUGUAGAGAGAAAGCAGAUUAAUGAUUGCCUAUGAUUUCAGGCAAUUGAUUAGUCAAUUGAUUACUAUAGGCAAUGGUUGUCUAUGACCAUACAAGUAGUUGCAUGUGGUAAGGAAAGGUCAAUGAUAAAGAGUUACUGCUAAUGAAUAUGUAGUUUUUUGUUUUUGUUUUUUGAGUGUUGAAAAUGUUCUAGAAUUAGAAUGUGGGGAUGAUAUUACAACUCUGUGAAAAUAUUUUUAAAAACAUUGACAUGUACACUUUAAAUAGAUAAAUUAUAUGCUAUAUGAAUUCUUUAUCAAUAAAUAGGUUUAAAAAGUUCCUAAUGGGAAAAUAUAAUAUUCAUUCAAAUAUUUAUAGCCACAUGCAAAAUACAUUACCU
This 1303-nucleotide long non-coding RNA is filed under the name Homo sapiens (human). RNAcentral's name for it is "HSALNT0142010". Lineage: Eukaryota; Metazoa; Chordata; Mammalia; Primates; Hominidae. The record is from RNAcentral.